GAGAGGGGGGGGGGGGGGGGGGGUAUAUAUAUCUGCCAAUUAAAUAAAAUAUGAGAACACCAGAUAAUAUAUCCCUACGGAUCUAUACUAGAAUUUUCAUGAUCAUUUAUUCAAGCUCCAUACCGAUGGUUCAUUCACUGCAAAAUUUUGAAUUAUAUCAAAGAACAUUGAUCUUUUCUCCAACUUUUAAUACCAAUCAAGCACAGGCAAUAUGCAUCGCUUGGGGUACUCUUUAAUAGUAAAUUCGAACACAAGUCAUGCAUAUUGCCUGUGCAAUCAAGGUACUUUGCAUGUACAUGUACAUCAGAUAUGUACAUUUCCACUCAAACCACUUAUAUACAAGAAUGGAACCAGCUGAACAUGAGCCAGGUUAUAUAUUAUGUAUUUGCUCUCCUACCCCUUUGAUUCAGUACUGUGUAAGGAAAUAUACUAUUGAGUAUAUAUAUAUUUUAAAAAGAAUAACAAAGAACAACAAUUUUCAUUCAUAUUUCAUUCAACAUAUAUAUACACAGGUUGAUAACAAUGGCUGAUCUGCAUAUAAUGACUGCUAGUUAUUGGCUGGUAUGCAGUGAAAGGGAGCUAAAAAGGAGUAAAAAGUUCAUAUCAGCCAGGUAGUGUGGCUUAAAUAAACCAGUGUUAAGGAAUAUCCAGUAAUGGCAUGACAUCAUGAGAGUUUGGCAUACCGACAUUCAGAUGAUUAAUGAUGAAACUGAAGACCUCAAGUGAAAGGCAUGGAAAAUGAUCCUGUUCCCAUAUACCUGAAAAAGAGGAGGGAUGCCACAAUAUUGAUAAUAGACUUUUGUCAAUUUGAGAAGCAAAGAUGUAAAAAAAAAAAAAAAAAAAAAAAAAAAAAAAAAUAAUAAUAAUGCUGAAAUUAUAAUUCAUGUAUUUGUUAAAAAUACUGUUCACUAUACAUACAUGUAUAUUUUUUUAAAACUUAUUUUUAAAUACAUGAAGUAAUUCAUAUUAAAACUGUGAAUGUAUGAGUUUUCAUGAUUUUAUUUAUAUUUAAGUCAAUUCACCUUUUUCAAACUUUUGAUGCCUAUGACGGAUUUCCUCUGCAUUGCUAUAUCUAUCAGGCCCAGCACAAUCUCUAUAUUUAGCUAUAUAGUUUUAUAAAGCUAUUUCAAACAGCUUCAUUAAGCUAGUUUCGAUUAAAUUUCUUAAGUGUAAUGACACAUAACAAUAUACAUGUACUUUGAACUAACCACAACACUAUUUUAGGUAUAGAUCAUAUGUCAUUUUAAGAAUUUUCAUGAAAAGAGAAUUUCUUUUGUAUUGAUAACUGUCCACUACCUUGUGUGUGUCGAAGCUUUGAUAAGUAUAUGAUGACUUUACAAUGUGGAAUCUGUAACAACUUAAUAAUCCUAAACAUUUGACAAUUUUGAAUCAAAAUUCUUCCUAAGGUACAUAGUUUAAGAA
Ostrea edulis (European flat oyster) is the source of this 1422-nucleotide long non-coding RNA. RefSeq lists it as uncharacterized. The transcript is spliced from 2 exons. The record is from RefSeq and is a predicted model, not a curated record. Lineage: Eukaryota; Metazoa; Mollusca; Bivalvia; Ostreida; Ostreidae.